Molecule: ribosomal RNA, 528 nt
Filed under: uncultured bacterium
Lineage: Bacteria
Description: bacterial SSU rRNA
Rfam family: Bacterial small subunit ribosomal RNA
Source: RNAcentral
CUGCUACUCUGCUGACGAGCGGCGGACGGGUGAGUAAUGCUUGGGAAUAUGCCUUAUGGUGGGGGACAACAGUUGGAAACGACUGCUAAUACCGCAUGAUGUCUACGGACCAAAGUGGGGGACCUUCGGGCCUCACGCCAUAAGAUUAGCCCAAGUGGGAUUAGCUAGUUGGUGAGGUAAUGGCUCACCAAGGCGACGAUCCCUAGCUGGUUUGAGAGGAUGAUCAGCCACACUGGGACUGAGACACGGCCCAGACUCCUACGGGAGGCAGCAGUGGGGAAUAUUGCACAAUGGGCGCAAGCCUGAUGCAGCCAUGCCGCGUGUGUGAAGAAGGCCUUCGGGUUGUAAAGCACUUUCAGUAAGGAGGAAAGGUUAAGUGUUAAUAGCACUUAGCUGUGACGUUACUUACAGAAGAAGCACCGGCUAACUCCGUGCCAGCAGCCGCGGUAAUACGGAGGGUGCGAGCGUNAAUCGGAAUUACUGGGCGUAAAGCGUACGCAGGCGGUUUGUUAAGCGAGAUGUGAAAGC